RNAcentral lists this ribosomal RNA (1793 nucleotides) under Durio zibethinus. RNAcentral's name for it is "SSU rRNA". It matches the Rfam family "Eukaryotic small subunit ribosomal RNA". The record is from RNAcentral. Lineage: Eukaryota; Viridiplantae; Streptophyta; Magnoliopsida; Malvales; Malvaceae.
CCAUGUUGGCUCUCUUCACUGUUUUGUUGGUGUGUUGAGGCCUAUGUGGUGUUAUAAAUUAAUUCAGAUUGUGAAACUGUGAAUGGCUUAUUAAAUUAGUUAUAGUUUAUUUGAUGGUAUCUACUAUUCAGAUAACCAUAGUAAUACUAAAGCUAAUAUGUGCAGAAACCUCAACUUCUAAAAAGGAUGCAUUUAUUAGAUAAAAUGUCGAUGCUAGCUUUGCUCGUUGUUUUGAUGAUUCAUGAUAACUUUACGGAUUGCAUGGCCUUUGUGCUGUGCUAGCAACGCAUCAUUCAAAUUUUUGCCUUAUGAAGUUUCGAUGCUAGGAUAGUGGCCUACUAUGGUAGUGAUGAGUGAUGGAAAGUUAGGGUUUGAUUCUGGAGAGAGAGCUUGAGAAAUAGCUACCACAUCCAAGGAAGGCAAUAGGAGCAAAAAUUACCCAAUCUUGACACAGGGAGUUAGUGACAAUAAAUAACAAUAUUGAGCUUUAUGAGUCUAACAAUUAGAAUGAGUACAAUCUAAAUCCCUUAGUGAGGAUCCAUUGGAGGGCAAGUCUAAUGCCAGUAGCCAUAGUAAUUCUAGUUCCAAUAGCAUAAAUUUAAGUUAUUGUAGUUAAAAAGCUCAUAGUUAGAGUUAGGGUUAAAUCCUUUGGUUUGCCUCACAAUAAGCAUCAGUUUACUUGUCCCUACUACUAGCGAUGUGCCUUUGGCCUUAACUAGCUGGGUCAUUCCUCUGACACUGUUACUUUAAAGAAAUUAAAGUGCUUAAAGUAGGCCCUUGCUUGUAUGCAUUAGCAUAGGAUAACAUCAUAGGAUUUUGGUCCUAUUGUAUUAGCCUUCAAGAUUAGAGUAAUGAUUAACAGAGACAAUCAAGGGGAUUUGUAUUUCAUAGUUAAAAGUGAAAUUUUUGGAUUUAUAAGAGAUGAACAACUACAAAAGCAUUUACCAAGGAUAUUUUUAUUAAUCAAGAAUGAAAGUUGGGGGCUAGAACAUGAUUAGAUACCAUCCUAGUCUCUACCAUAAAUGAUGUUGACCAAGGAUCAAUGGAUGUUACUUUUAAGACUCUAUUGGUACCUUAUAAGAAAUCAAAGUCUUUGGGUUUCAAGGGUAAUAUGGUCGCAAGGCUAAAACUUAAAGGAAUUGAUAGAAGGGCACCACUAGGAGUGGAGCCUAUAGCUUAAUUUCACUCAACAUGAGGAAACUUACCCGGUCAACACAUAGUAAGGAAUGACAGAUUGAGAGCUUUUUCUUGAUUCUAUAGGUGGUGGUGCAUGGCCAUUCUUAGUUGGUGGAGUGAUUUGUCUGGUUAAUUCUAUUAAUGAAUAAGAUCUUAACCUACUAACUAGCUACAUGGAGGUAAUUCUUCAUAGCUAGCUUUUUAAAAGGACUAUGGCCGUUUAAGCCAUGGAAGUUUGAGGGAAUAACAGGUUUAUGACACCCAUAGAUGUUCUAGGCUACUCAUACACAACAUUGAUGUAUUGAACAAGUCUAUAGCCUUGGUUGAUAGGCUUCGAUAAUCAUUGAAAUUUCACCGUGAUGGGGAUAGAUCAUUGUAAUUGUUAGUCUUCAAUGAGGAAUUCUUAGUAAACGUGAGUCUUUAGCUUAUGUUGACUAUGUCCUUGCCCUUUGUACACAUCGCCUAUUGCUCUUACCGAUUGAAUGGUUUGAUGAAGUGUUUAGAUCAUGGUGAUGUGGAUGGUUCAUUACUAGAGAUGUUAUAAGAAGUCCAUUAAACCUUAUCAUUUAGAGGAAGAAGAAGUUGCAACAAGGUUUUCAUAGGUGACAUUAUAAAAG